AGCGAACGCUGGAGGCAGGCCUAACACAUGCAAGUCGAACGAACCUUUCGGGGUUAGUGGCGGACGGGUGAGUAACACGUGGGAACGUGCCUUUAGGUUCGGAAUAACUCAGGGAAACUUGUGCUAAUACCGAAUGUGCCCUUCGGGGGAAAGAUUAAUCGCCUUUAGAGCGGCCCGCGUCUGAUUAGCUAGUUGGUUGAGGUAAUGGCUCACCAAGGCGACGAUCAGUAGCUGGUCUGAGAGGAUGAUCAGCCACAUUGGGACUGAGACACGGCCCAAACUCCUACGGGAGGCAGCAGUGGGGAAUCUUGCGCAAUGGGCGAAAGCCUGACGCAGCCAUGCCGCGUGAAUGAUGAAGGUCUUAGGAUUGUAAAAUUCUUUCACCGGGGACGAUAAUGACGGUACCCGGAGAAGAAGCCCCGGCUAACUUCGUG
Molecule: ribosomal RNA, 434 nt
Filed under: uncultured bacterium
Lineage: Bacteria
Description: partial 16S ribosomal RNA
Rfam family: Bacterial small subunit ribosomal RNA
Source: RNAcentral